GAUGAACGCUGGCGGCGUGCCUAAUACAUGCAAGUCGAGCGAACAGACGAGGAGCUUGCUCCUCUGACGUUAGCGGCGGACGGGUGAGUAACACGUGGAUAACCUACCUAUAAGACUGGGAUAACUUCGGGAAACCGGAGCUAAUACCGGAUAAUAUAUUUAACCGCAUGGUUCAAUAGUGAAAUACGGUUUUGCUGUCACUUAUAGAUGGAUGCGCGCCGCAUUAGCUAGUUGGUAAGGUAACGGCUUACCAAGGCAACGAUGCGUAGCCGAGCUGAGAGGGUGAUCGGCCACACUGGAACUGAGACACGGUCCAGACUCCUACGGGAGGCAGCAGUAGGGAAUCUUCCGCAAUGGGCGAAAGCCUGACGGAGCAACGCCGCGCGAGUGAUGAAGGUCUUCGGAUCGUAAAACUCUGUUAUUAGGGAAGAACAAAUGUGUAAGUAACUAUGCACGUCUUGACGGUACCUAAUCAGAAAGCCACGGCUAACUACGUG
Molecule: ribosomal RNA, 497 nt
Filed under: uncultured bacterium
Lineage: Bacteria
Description: partial 16S ribosomal RNA
Rfam family: Bacterial small subunit ribosomal RNA
Source: RNAcentral